UCUUAUAUGUCUAGACUUAACUUUUUGAAUUUUCUUUUUUUUUUUUGAUUUAGUACAAAAAACAUGAACAUACGGAAUACAGUUAUAUUUAUUGGUUUAAUGUCUUUGGUUACUAUUCUAUCAUCUGUUUCAAUUCUGGAUCACUUUUGAUUGAGUUGAUUUUUCUUGUCACUGUGGGUCAUAUUUUCCUGCUUCUUUGCAUGCUAGUUAAAAGUUUAAAUUGUAUACCAGAGAUUGUGAACUUUACCUUGUUUUCAUAGAUAUUUUUGUAUUCUUGUAAAUAUUCCUGACUUUAUUUUGGCAUGCUGUUAAGUUUCUUGGGCAGAGUUCAGUCAUUUCUUGUCUUUCUAAGUUUUGUUAGGCUGUGGUGUACCAAAUCAACAUUUAAUCUAGGGUUCAUUUACUCCACUACUGAGGCAAAACCCUUUUGAGCACUCUACCCUGUGUCCUAUGAAUUGUGAGGUUUUCCAUUCUUACUGAUGGGAACACGCACUAUUCUAGGCCCUGUGUGUAAUGCUGCUGUGAAUGUUGCUUUAUAUGUCUCUUGGAAGAAAUUCAGCUUCGUAUUUCAAGAGUAUAUAGAUGAGAGGGAAUCGAUUUCUUUCCAUGAUACCCAGUCAUGUUAUGUAUGAAUAAUGACAGGUUUACAUAUUCAUUUCUUAUUUAUUUAUUUUGAGACGGAGUCUCACUCUGUUGCCCAGGCUGGAGUUUAGUGGCGCGAUCUCGGCUCGCUGCAAGCUCUGCCUCCCGGGUUCACGCCAUUCUCCUACCUCAGCCUCGCAAGUAGCCGUUCCAUUACCCCGAGGGCAACCUAUGUAACCAUGGUGUUUUUUGAUGGGGAGUAUCCUUCUACUUUGUACUGUGCUUAACCAUUAUACAUUUAAACAGUAUAUGUUUGGGCAUGUACUAUACAUACUAUUCAGCUUCUUAUGAUGUGUUUUAUUGAUUGUUUUAUAACAGUGUAUGUAGAAUUACGUCAUUCUUUUGGGUAGCGGAAAUUCCAUGCUAUGGAAAUAUAUCAGUAAAGAGUUCGUCAUGGAGCUUUUAUGGAGUUGCAGAAUCGGGUGGGGCAAGAAUAAAAUAAUUGAUUUAAUUGUAAAUAAUAAAAAUAUGUUGGCAGGCUAAUUGGUGAUCAAUACUAGGAGAAAAAUAAAGCAUGCAGGCAGAAUAUGGAGUGCCGAGAUUCAGAGUUUAAAAUAGGAUAUACCUUAGGGAAGGACCUACAAGAAACUGGUGGUUGCUUUUAAUAGAGGGGAACUGAGUGUGUGAAAGACAGGAGUGGGAAUGAGACAUACGUUUCACUAGUACUUUUUUUGUGCCUACUGAAUUUUUUUUUAACAUGCAGUAUGUUUAUUGGAAUAAAUUCAAUUUUAUUGAAAGAUAGGCUACUGUGGUGUUAGAGGUGAGGGAGCAAGGGAGCAAGCCGUCCAAUUUUUGGCAAUUCAUUCUGGUGCUUUCACUGUGGCCAGGCCUUCUUACUCAGAAAUGAGUAGUAAGUGGUUCUAUAAUCGUAUAUUCCUACCGAUAGCAUAUUAAGGAAGGAAAAGGGCAUCCUGAGAAAGCAAGGGAGAUUUGAGUGGUAAAUGGGUGUGUUAGACCCUUCUAGUUCUUGUCUGUUGCUUCCACAUCUGUUUCCAAUAGCUGUAAUCAUGAAUUAGAUCCCAUUUCCUUUUUUAAAAAAGUCAGUGGUCUGUGGUUCUUGGGUGGGAGAGAUAAAGGAGGUUUAACAAUUGAGAAUUUCAAAGUCAUCAGUGGCAGAGCACGCGCUCUAAUAGCAUGAAUAAUUUAAUCAUAACUAAGGGAGCUUAUUUGGAAAUAUAUACUUGAUCAUAGAAUAUUCCUCUCCCAACUUUUUUGUUGACAGCUUUACUGAGGUGUAAUUUACAUGCCAUAAAAUACACCCAUUCUAACUGUACGUAGUUCAGUGAUUUUUAGUCAACUUAACAGCAUUGUACCACAGUUAACACAAUGCAAUAUUAUAGCAUUUCUAUCAUUCUGAAAAGUUUUCCUCAGACCUUUUGGAAGUCAUUUUCUGUUCGCGCCCCUUGGUGAACACUGAUGCUUUCUGUUACUCUUGAUUUGCCUUUUCUGAGUAUUUCACAUAAAUGGAAUCAUAAUGUAUAGUCUUUUGUGACUAGCUUCUCUCACUGAACGUGUUUUUGUGGUUCAUCUGUGUUGUCGCAUGUAUCUGUAGUUCUAUUUUUUAUUACUGAGUAGUAUUUCAUUCUGUGGAUAAUACCACAUUGUGUUUAUUCAUUCACUAGUUGAUGGGGAUUUGGAUCAUUUCUAGUUUUUGACUAUUAUGCAUAAUGAACAUUCAAGUACAAGUCUUUGUGAGGACAUCCUCUUUCAACUUUUUAUUUUGAAAAAUUUAAACCCCACAGAAAGAUUGAAGUUUCUGUACUUGGGUAAAUAUACCCCAGAUGUCUCAUUGACUUGUUACAUUGUAUUUUAUGCUUAACUCUUUCAGAGAGAAAUUUACUUAUGAAUUUGUUAUGGUAGUCUAAGGCUUGUUCUUUGCAUGUCAUCAACUGAUUUGAGAGCCAUACACUUGUUUCUGCAUAAGCCACACAAAUAAUACAUAGUCUGUGAUAAUUUAGCAUAGUAGAAUG
Molecule: long non-coding RNA, 2612 nt
Filed under: Homo sapiens (human)
Lineage: Eukaryota; Metazoa; Chordata; Mammalia; Primates; Hominidae
Description: HSALNT0334095
Source: RNAcentral